Molecule: ribosomal RNA, 520 nt
Filed under: uncultured delta proteobacterium
Lineage: Bacteria; Deltaproteobacteria
Description: bacterial SSU rRNA
Rfam family: Bacterial small subunit ribosomal RNA
Source: RNAcentral
AACGAACGCUGGCGGCGUACUUAACACAUGCAAGUCGGACGAGAAAGGAGACUUCGGUCUCUGAGUACAGUGGCGUACGGGUGCGUAACACGUAAGUAAUCUGCCCCGAACUCCAGGAUAACCCUCCGAAAGGAGGGCUAACACUGGAGUAGGGUCCCCGAGGUGUAGGCUGCGGGGGGAAAACGGGCCUCUGUUUCAUGCUCGUGGUUCGGGAUGAGCUUGCGGCCCAUUAGCUUGUUGGUAGGGUAAUGGCUUACCAAGGCUGCGAUGGGUAGCUGGUCUGAGAGGAUGAUCAGCCACACUGGCACUGAGACACGGGCCAGACUCCUACGGGAGGCAGCAGUGGGGAAUUUUGCGCAAUGGGCGAAAGCCUGACGCAGUAACGCCGCGUGGAGGAUGAAGGCCUUCGGGUUGUAAACUCCUGUCAGGGGGAACGACGGAGAAAGGGUGACAAAUCCUUUCCUCCAGACGGUACCUCCAAAGGAAGCCCCGGCUAAUUCCGUGCCAGCAGCCGCGGUAA